AACGAACGCUGGCGGCAUGCCUAACACAUGCAAGUCGAACGAGACCUUCGGGUCUAGCGGCGCACGGGUGCGUAACGCGUGGGAACCUGCCCUUAGGUUCGGAAUAACUCCCCGAAAGGGGUGCUAAUACCGGAUAAUGUCUUCGGACCAAAGAUUUAUCGCCUUUGGAUGGGCCUGCGUUGGAUUAGCUAGAUGGUAGGGUAAAAGCCUACCAAGGCGACGAUCCAUAGCUGGUCUGAGAGGAUGAUCAGCCACACUGGGACUGAGACACGGCCCAGACUCCUACGGGAGGCAGCAGUGGGGAAUAUUAGACAAUGGGCGAAAGCCUGAUCCAGCAAUGCCGCGUGAGUGAUGAAGGCCUUAGGGUUGUAAAGCUCUUUUACCCGGGAUGAUAAUGACAGUACCGGGAGAAUAAGCUCCGGCUAACUCCGUG
This 433-nucleotide ribosomal RNA is filed under the name uncultured bacterium. RNAcentral's name for it is "partial 16S ribosomal RNA". It matches the Rfam family "Bacterial small subunit ribosomal RNA", at positions 29 to 507 of the family's 1533-position model. The record is from RNAcentral.